GCGUAGGAAUCUACCCAGUAGCGGGGGAUAAGCCAGAGAAAUUUGGUCUAAUACCGCAUACGCCCUUCGGGGAAAGCAGGGGAUCUUCGGACCUCGCGCUAUUAGAUGAGCCCGCGUAAGAUUAGCUAGUUGGUGGGGUAAAGGCCUACCAAGGCGACGAUCUUUAGCUGGUCUGAGAGGAUGAUCAGCCACAUUGGGACUGAGACACGGCCCAAACUCCUACGGGAGGCAGCAGUGGGGAAUAUUGCACAAUGGGCGCAAGUGAUGCAGCCAUGCCGCGUGUGUGAAGAAGGCUCUAGGGUUGUAAAGCACUUUCAGUGGGGAGGAAAGGGUGUAAGUUAAUACCUUGCAUCUGUGACGUUACCCACAGAAGAAGCACCGGCUAACUCCGUGCCAGCAGCCGCGGUAAUACGGAGGGUGCAAGCGUUAAUCGGAAUUACUGGGCGUAAAGCGCGCGUAGGGGUUAUCUAAGCUAGAUGUGAAAGCCCAGGGCUCAACCUUGGAAUUGCAUUUAGAACUGGGUAGCUAGAGUACAGCAGAGGAGUGUGGAAUUUCAGGUGUAGCGGUGAAAUGCGUAGAGAUCUGAAGGAACAUCAGUGGCGAAGGGACACUCUGGGCUGAUACUGACGCUGAGGUGCGAAAGGUGGGGAGCAAACAGGAUUAGAUACCCUGGUAGUCCACGCCGUAAACGAUGUCGACUAGCCGUUGGGGUCCUUGAGGCCUUAGUGGCGCAGUAACGCGAUAAGUCGACCGCCUGGGGAGUACGGCCGCAAGUUAAAACUCAAAUGAAUUGACGGGGGCCCGCACAAGCGUGGAGCAUGUGGUUUAAUUCGAAGCAAC
This 840-nucleotide ribosomal RNA is filed under the name uncultured bacterium. RNAcentral's name for it is "bacterial SSU rRNA". It matches the Rfam family "Bacterial small subunit ribosomal RNA", at positions 115 to 960 of the family's 1533-position model. The record is from RNAcentral.